Molecule: ribosomal RNA, 253 nt
Filed under: uncultured bacterium
Lineage: Bacteria
Description: partial 16S ribosomal RNA
Rfam family: Bacterial small subunit ribosomal RNA
Source: RNAcentral
UACGGGGGGGGUAAGCGUUGUUCGGAAUUACUGGGCGUAAAGGGCGCGUAGGCGGCCUUCUUAGUCGGACGUGAAAUCCCCAGGCUCAACUUGGGAACUGCGUCCGAUACUGGAUGGCUUGAGUGCGGGAGAGGGAUGUGGAAUUCCAGGUGUAGCGGUGAAAUGCGUAGAUAUCUGGAGGAACACCGGUGGCGAAGGCGGCAUCCUGGACCGACACUGACGCUGAGGCGCGAAAGCUAGGGGAGCAAACGGG